GUUUAGCUCAGCGGGAGAGCGCUUCCCUGACACGGAAGAGGUCACUGGUUCAAUCCCAGUAUC
RNAcentral lists this transfer RNA (63 nucleotides) under Corynebacterium diphtheriae. RNAcentral's name for it is "tRNA-Val". It matches the Rfam family "tRNA", at positions 5 to 66 of the family's 71-position model. Rfam says of the family: Transfer RNA (tRNA) molecules are approximately 80 nucleotides in length. Their secondary structure includes four short double-helical elements and three loops (D, anti-codon, and T loops). Lineage: Bacteria; Bacillati; Actinomycetota; Actinomycetes; Mycobacteriales; Corynebacteriaceae. The record is from RNAcentral.